UUCAGGCAAUAAUCGGGCAUUAUUUCAAUGGCAUUCAAUGCCAAAUAUCAACAGUCAUCUUCAACUUGGAUUCUUGGACAUCUUAUAAACAGAUCUUCAAACGUUUGUUCUGAUGAACUUAAAAGUUGUGGAUGUAAGUAUUUUUCUAUCAUUGAAUGAUUGAUUCUAGUAUACAAUAACUCAAAAAUGUUAAUUAGUAAUAGGAAGUGGAUAUUCGUCCGCCCAUAUCGAAAAACUCGUUAAAAAUAAAACAGCGUAAAUUUAAUUGAAUUUCAAGCGAAUCCUUCGUAGUGUAAUGGUUUAGGCACCCGUAUUGUGUGCGCCAAGUUCUGGGAUCGAUUCCUGCUCGCGCCACUAUUUUAUUAUUUUUUUUAUACUUUUUUUUUCUUCGUGAUUUUCGCUUACGCACCGCGUACGAAACGUAUAG
Paramuricea clavata is the source of this 427-nucleotide non-coding RNA. Lineage: Eukaryota; Metazoa; Cnidaria; Anthozoa; Malacalcyonacea; Plexauridae. The record is from the annotation of a GenBank genome assembly.